This 324-nucleotide ribosomal RNA is filed under the name uncultured bacterium. Its description in RNAcentral is "bacterial SSU rRNA". It matches the Rfam family "Bacterial small subunit ribosomal RNA", at positions 28 to 334 of the family's 1533-position model. The record is from RNAcentral.
GAUGAACGCUGGCGGCGUGCUUAACACAUGCAAGUCGAACGAAGCACCUUGAUUUGAUUCUUCGGAUGAAGAUCUUGGUGACUGAGUGGCGGACGGGUGAGUAACGCGUGGGUAACCUGCCUCAUACAGGGGGAUAACAGUUAGAAAUGACUGCUAAUACCGCAUAAGACCACAGCACCGCAUGGUGCAGGGGCAAAAACUCCGGUGGUAUGAGAUGGACCCGCGUCUGAUUAGGUAGUUGGUGGGGUAACGGCCUACCAAGCCGACGAUCAGUAGCCGGCCUGAGAGGGUGAACGGCCACAUUGGGACUGAGACACGGCCCAG